RNAcentral lists this transfer RNA (68 nucleotides) under Copris tripartitus. Its description in RNAcentral is "tRNA-Phe". Lineage: Eukaryota; Metazoa; Arthropoda; Insecta; Coleoptera; Scarabaeidae. The record is from RNAcentral.
ACUUAAAUAGCUUAAAUUAUAGAGCAUAAUAUUGAAGAUAUUAGGGUAAUAGAAAUUAUUUUUAAGUA